This 402-nucleotide ribosomal RNA is filed under the name uncultured bacterium. RNAcentral's name for it is "partial 16S ribosomal RNA". It matches the Rfam family "Bacterial small subunit ribosomal RNA", at positions 30 to 525 of the family's 1533-position model. The record is from RNAcentral.
AUUGAACGCUAGCGGGAUGCUUUACACAUGCAAGUCGAACGAGUGGCGGACGGGUGAGUAACGCGUAGUAACCUACCUCUAAGUGGCGGAUAGCUUCGGGAAACUGUAGUAAUACCGCAUGCUUGGUGGGGGCUUUCGUCCGAUUAGCUAGUUGGUGGGGUAAUGGCCUACCAAGGCUACGAUCGGUAGCUGGUCUGAGAGGAUGAUCAGCCACACUGGGACUGAGACACGGCCCAGACUCCUACGGGAGGCAGCAGUGGGGAAUUUUGGACAAUGGGGGAAACCCUGAUCCAGCCAUCCCGCGUGUGUGAUGAAGGCCUUCGGGUUGUAAAGUACUGUUGCAGAGAAGCGGUAUCUGCAGAAUAAGCACCGGCUAACUACGUGCCAGCAGCCGCGGUAAAC